UACGUAGGGGGCGAGCGUUAUCCGGAAUUAUUGGGCGUAAAGAGUGCGUAGGUGGUUUUGUAAGCGUGGGGUGAAAGGCAUAGGCUUAACCAAUGUGAGCCCUGCGAACUGUGAGACUUGAGUGCAGGAGAGGAAAGCGGAAUUCCUAGUGUAGCGGUGAAAUGCGUAGAUAUUAGGAGGAACACCAGUGGCGAAGGCGGCUUUCUGGACUGUAACUGACACUGAGGCACGAAAGUGUGGGGAGC
Molecule: ribosomal RNA, 245 nt
Filed under: uncultured Anaerovorax sp.
Lineage: Bacteria; Bacillati; Bacillota; Clostridia; Peptostreptococcales; Anaerovoracaceae
Description: partial 16S ribosomal RNA
Rfam family: Bacterial small subunit ribosomal RNA
Source: RNAcentral